UCCCCUAGUAACGGCGAGUGAAGCGGGAUGAGCUCAAAUUUGAAAUCUGGCUGGUUUACUAGUCCGAGUUGUAAUUUAAAGAAGCGUUUUCGGUGGCAGCCUGGGUAUAAAUCCUUUGGAAUAGGGUAUCAUAGAGGGUGAGAAUCCCGUCUUUGACCUAGUGCAUGCUACUAUGUGAUACGUUUUCAAAGAGUCGAGUUGUUUGGGAAUGCAGCUCAAAAUGGGUGGUAAAUUUCAUCUAAAGCUAAAUAUUGGCGAGAGACCGAUAGCGAACAAGUACCGUGAGGGAAAGAUGAAAAGAACUUUGAAAAGAGAGUUAAACAGUGCGUGAAAUUGUUGAAAGGGAAACGUUUGACACCAGUCAUGUGGGUGGAAAAUCAGUCUUUUGCAUUGGGGAGUUGUAAAGGUUCGGACCGCAAGGCCGGCUUUUGCUUCAUCUUUGGUGUAAGGGAUGCACUUUUUCAUCUGCAGGUCAACAUCAGUUUCUUUUGCUGGACAAAACUCCGAGAGAAGGUAGCAGCUUAGGCUGUGUUAUAGCUCUGGAGCGAUACAGUGAAGGGGACUGAGGUUUUCGCAGCGUGUGCUCUCGGGCAAGGCUGGAUGGGUGCUAUGGGAUCGUUCGGGGUACAAUGCCUGGCA
RNAcentral lists this ribosomal RNA (639 nucleotides) under Mortierella sp. Its description in RNAcentral is "partial large subunit ribosomal RNA". It matches the Rfam family "Eukaryotic large subunit ribosomal RNA", at positions 76 to 605 of the family's 3401-position model. The record is from RNAcentral. Lineage: Eukaryota; Fungi; Mortierellomycota; Mortierellomycetes; Mortierellales; Mortierellaceae.